UAUUCAUCAUCCACCAUCAAUAUUUACCACCUCCUCAUCAAUAUUCAUCGCGGUUCAUUAAUACUCAUCGUCUCUCAUCAAUAUUCAUCACACCCCACAAAUACUCAUCGUCUCCUCAUUAAUAUUCAUCGCGAUCUCAUUAAUAUUCAUCGCCUCUCAUCAAUAUUCACCACCCCACUCACCUCCUCAUCAAUAUUCAUCAACCCUAUCAAUAUUAACCGCUCCAUCAAUAUUCAUCACCACAUCAUUUUCAUCAUCUCCUCAUCAAUAUUCAUCAACCCCAUCAAUAUUAACCGCUCCAUCAAUAUCCAUCACCCCUCAUUAAUAUUCAUCACCCUCAUUAAUAUUCAUCACCCCUCUCCCCGUUUCCCGCCAAGUCCCUUUUCUCCCCCCCGCUUCCGGUUCCGAACACGUGAUCGAUGCGGUUCUUCCGGUCCCACACGACGUUCCCCCGGUACCGGAUGCGCUGGAUCCGAUGUUCCGGUACCGGCAGCUCGUCGGGUCCGGCGUCACACAACGGACCGUGGUAAAGGUCGGACAUGGGCCGCUCCACGAGGCCCCGGAACCGGUCCCGGUAUUGAACCGAACCGAACCCCGGCUCCAGUGCCGGGUCCCAACGGAUCCGGUUCAGCACGUCGGCGGCGCGGCGUAAUGGCGGCUUCUUCCCUUCCGGUUCCGGUUCGUCACGGUUCGUUUCCGGUUCCGGGUUCGUUUCCGGUUCGUCCCGGUUCGGUUCCGGUUCCGGUUGGGCAGAUCCCGGAUGUAGGUUCCGGCAGCGCGACCCGAACCGGCACCGACCCUCCAGGAACCAACGGCAACAAGAGACCGGAACCGGGUCCAUGGGCUCAGAACCGGGUCCGGGUCCGUGGUUCUGGUCGUUCUGGGCUGUUGGUUCCGGGUCGGAACCGGGUAAAGGGCGGAGGGGGCGGGGCCAGAAAGGGGGCGGGGCCAGAAAGGGGCGGAGCCAAAAGGGGGCGGGGCCAAAAAGGGGCGGAGCCAGAAAGGGGGCGGAGCAAAAGGGGGCGUGGCCAAAAGUGCGGGGCCUGGAAAAGGGGCGGGGCCAAAAGGGGGCGGGGCUUAAAGGGGCGUGGCCAGAGGGCCCCAUUGAAACCCAUUGAUCCCUAUUGAUCCCCAUUGAUCCUAUUGAUCAACAUUGAUCCCCAUUGAGCCCCAUUGAUCCUAUUGAGCCCCACUGAGCCAUAUUGACUCUAUUGAUCCCCAUUGAUCCCCAUUGAACCCCAUUAACCGUAUUGAUCCCCAUUGAUCCUAUUGAGCCCCAUUGAUCCUAUUGAUCCCCAUUGACCCUAUUGAUCCCCAUUGAGUCCAUUGAUCCCCAUUGAGCCCCAUUGACCCUAUUGAUCCCCAUUGAUCCCCAUUGAGCCCAUUGAUCCCUAUUGAUCCCCAUUGAUCCCCAUUGAUCCUACUGAUCCUAUUGAGCCCCAUUGAGCCCUAUUGAUCCCCAUUGAUCCCCAUUGACUCUAUUGAGCCCCAUUGAGCCCUAUUGAUUCCAUUGAUCCCCAUUGGUCCCCAUUGACUCUAUUGUGCCCCAUUGACCCUAUUGAUCCCCAUUGACCCUAUUGAUCCCCAUUAAGCCCCAUUGACCCUAUUGAUCCCCAUUGGUCCCCAUUGACUCUAUUGAGCCCCAUUGAGCCCUAUUGAUCCCCAUUGAUUCUAUUGAUCCCCAUU
Coturnix japonica (Japanese quail) is the source of this 1686-nucleotide long non-coding RNA. The record is from Ensembl. NCBI's taxonomy places the organism in Eukaryota, Metazoa, Chordata, Aves, Galliformes, Phasianidae.